GGGUCGCUGGCUUAGCUUGGUUAAAGCGUUCGGCUGAUAACCGAAAGAUCCAGGGAUCGAAGCCCUGGCGACCCACCA
RNAcentral lists this transfer RNA (78 nucleotides) under Promethearchaeota archaeon. RNAcentral's name for it is "Candidatus Lokiarchaeota archaeon (microbial mat metagenome) tRNA-Ile". It matches the Rfam family "tRNA". From Rfam's summary of the family: Transfer RNA (tRNA) molecules are approximately 80 nucleotides in length. Their secondary structure includes four short double-helical elements and three loops (D, anti-codon, and T loops). The record is from RNAcentral. Lineage: Archaea; Promethearchaeati; Promethearchaeota.